ACAUCUAGUUCAGUGAAUAUGUCAUAAACAAAUAAGUAAGAAUUAAUAGAACAGAAGUACUUUAUAUCUCUUUUGACAGUAAAGGGUUAACAAGUUCAGGAAGCAUGGCUGUCA
This is a non-coding RNA of Chelonoidis abingdonii (Abingdon island giant tortoise), 114 nucleotides long. The record is from RefSeq and is a predicted model, not a curated record. Lineage: Eukaryota; Metazoa; Chordata; Testudines; Testudinidae.